UUGAGGUCCUGUAAAUUGAGAGAGAAUCAGAGCGACAGAGAGGGAUGGGGACUCGCGCUCUCUGCAACUCAUUUUGAGCUCCCAUAAAUGGCGGGCUCUUCUCCUUCUUAUCUUUCAAAUCCUUUUUUUAAAGGAAUCAGGUUCUUGUUUUCUAUAUUCUCUAUGUAGGUUUAGUUGAGGGAUUUUCCUAGGGUUUUAGAAGCAUUUAUCGUAUGGAUUUAGAUUUCUGAUUGUCCCUACAAUGGCAAAGGAAACCCUAAAUGGAGACAUUAGGAGCUCAGAGAGAGAAGACAAGGGAAGCAGGAGAAGGGAAGAGAGAGAAGAUGAGAGAAGCAGGAACAGGGAAAAUAGAGAAAGAAAGAGAAGUACGAGUUUAGAGAGGGAGGAUAGGAGAAGUGGAAUCAGGGAAGGGAGAGAAGACAAGGGAAGCAGAAGCAAAGAAGAGCACAAGAGAAGCCGGAGCAGAGAAGAGAGAGAAGAGAUCAGAGAGAGUGAUGAGGAAAGCCCCAGAAAGAGAAGGAAACACUCUAAGAAGAGGUCUAAAAGGCACGAGCAAAGUUCAGAGGAGUCUUCUUCUGAAUCAAUGGAGUCAGACUCUUUUUCAGAUGAUUAUGAUUCUUCUUCAGAGGAAGUGAGGAGGAAGAGGAGGAAAGAUAAGAGGAGGAGAGACAAAGUGAGUGAAAAUGACAGGAAGAGAAGGAAAAAUGAAGAAUCAAUGGAAUCAGACUCCUUAUCAGAUGAUUCUGAUUCUUCUUCAGAGGAAGAGAGGAGGAAGAGGAGGAAAGAUAAGAGGAGGAGGAGAGAGAAAGAGAGUGAGGAGAGGAAGAGAAGGAAAAAUGAAGAUGAGAAGAUGAAAACGAAGAGGAAGAGAGAGAAGGAAGAGACGAAAAGGAAGAAGAAGAAGAGUAAGAGGAAAAAAGUGACAAAAGGUGCAGUGACAGGUUCUUGGGGUAAAUAUGGCAUUUUAAAAGAGAUCGACAUGUGGAAUAAAAGGCCAGAAUUUGGGGCAUGGUUAUUAGAAGUGAAGAAGGUGAACCUUGAGACUUUAUCGAACCGAGAAGAGAAGCAACUGUUCAAGGAGUUUAUGGAGGAUCAUAAUACUGCUACUUUUCCUUCCAAAAAAUACUAUGAUUUAGAUACUUAUCAUCGCCAUAAGAUGAUAAAGGCGCUGAAAAAAGGUUCUGAAGUAGUCACACAGAUAGAGCGUACCGUAUUUGAUGAUGAGGAACAACGCCGGCAAGAAUUACUGAGGGAGCGUGAGAAACAGAAGGAAGCACAGAUUGAGGCUUUGAAAAUUUCAAUGCAGAGUGGGAUGGCUCAAGCAAUGAAGGAGCAGGCCCAGUUGCGUGAAGAAAUGAAUUAUCAGUUCAGGCUUGGUAAUAUUGAGGCUGCUCAAGCAAUUCAAAGAAGAUUGGAUCCUGAUGCUGCAAUGUGAUUAGUUUUGCCCCACACUCUGGAAAGGGUAUGACGAAUUUUCAUCACCUCGCUCUCGCUCUCGCUCUCAUAUGCAUGAUCAUUAUGGGAAUUUAUAGGGUUUUCUUGCUCCUCACUGCUUCAUAACGCAACUGGUGAAUUACCACAAGGAGAUUCAUCAUUUGGGAAGUUCUGGUGAGUCCCCAUGUUCUUCGAAUGGAUCUCUUAGUUGUUGAGAGGAUUGCUGAAAGGUGGUAUAUAAGGCAUAUCGAUACAUGUAAUGGUUAACUGUUUUCAAUUUUCAUGGUUUUGAACCAUUUUUUAAUGCUUUCUGCCGACUUUUUUGUUAUGCAUAUGAAUGUGAGCAUACUUCCAUGGAA
Amborella trichopoda is the source of this 1793-nucleotide RNA transcript. It is a transcript of the gene named nucleic acid-binding protein, with no coding region annotated. NCBI's taxonomy places the organism in Eukaryota, Viridiplantae, Streptophyta, Magnoliopsida, Amborellales, Amborellaceae. The record is from RefSeq and is a predicted model, not a curated record.